RNAcentral lists this ribosomal RNA (459 nucleotides) under uncultured bacterium. Its description in RNAcentral is "partial 16S ribosomal RNA". It matches the Rfam family "Bacterial small subunit ribosomal RNA", at positions 338 to 795 of the family's 1533-position model. The record is from RNAcentral.
CCUACGGGAGGCAGCAGUGAGGAAUAUUGGUCAAUGGACGAGAGUCUGAACCAGCCAAGUAGCGUGAAGGAUGACUGCCCUAUGGGUUGUAAACUUCUUUUAUAUGGGAAUAAAAUGUUCCACGUGUGGGAUUUUGUAUGUACCAUAUGAAUACGGAUCGGCUAACUCCGUGCCAGCAGCCGCGGUAAUACGGAGGAUCCGAGCGUUAUCCGGAUUUAUUGGGUUUAAGGGGAUCGUAGGUGGAUUGUUAAGUCAGUUGUGAAAGUUUGCGGCUCAACCGUAAAAUUGCAGUUGAAACUGGCAGUCUGGAGUACAGUAGAGGAGGGCGGAAUGCGUGGUGUAGCGGUGAAAUGCUUAGAUAUCACGAAGAACUCCGAUUGCGAAGGCAGCUCACUGGACUGCAACGGACACUGAGGCUCGAAAGUGUGGGUAUCAAACAGGAUUAGAUACCCUAGUGUC